This 1352-nucleotide ribosomal RNA is filed under the name metagenome. RNAcentral describes it as "SSU rRNA". It matches the Rfam family "Eukaryotic small subunit ribosomal RNA", at positions 324 to 1717 of the family's 1831-position model. The record is from RNAcentral.
GAUGGUAGUGUAUUGGACUACCAUGGCAGUAACGGGUAACGAAGAAUUAGGGUUCGAUUUCGGAGAGGGAGCAUGAGAAACGGCUACCACAUCUAAGGAAGGCAGCAGGCGCGUAAAUUACCCAAUCCUGACUCAGGGCGGUAGUGACAAGAAAUAGCAAACCGGGAACCUCAUGGUUUCACGGUAUUGCAAUGAGAACAAUUUAAAACCCUUAGCGAGAAUCAAGUGGAGGACAAGUCUGGUGCCAGCACCCGCGGUAAUUCCAGCUCCACUAGCGUAUAUUAAAGUUGUUGCAGUUAAAAAGCUCGUAGUUGAACCUCUGUCUGGGGCUAGUUUUGGCUUUGGUCAGGCUAGUUCUAGGCAUCCGCCUACAAGACUUAGAGGGCAUUCAGUUGUUCACUAGGAGGAGUAGGCAUUUUACUUUGAAAAAAUUAGAGUGUUUAAGGCAGGCAAUCGCCCGCAUAUAUUAGCAUGGAAUAAUAGAAUAGGACACUUUUCCAUUUCGUUGGUUAUUGGAAUCGUGUAAUGAUUAAUAGGGACAGUUGUGGGCAUUUGUAUUUAAUUGUCAGAGGUGAAAUUCUUGGAUUUAUUAAAGACAAACUAACGCGAAAGCAUUUGCCAAGGAUGUUUUCAUUAAUCAAGAACGAAAGUUAGGGGAUCAAAGACGAUCAGAUACCGUCCUAGUCUUAACUAUAAACUAUUCCGACUCAAUGUUUGACUGGCUUAUAUAACCAGUUGAGCGUUGUAUGAGAAAUCAAAGUCUUUAGGUUCUGGGGGGAGUAUGGUUGCAAAGCUGAAACUUAAAGGAAUUGACGGAAGAGCACAACCAGGAGUGGAUUCUGCGGCUUAAUUUGACUCAACACGGGGAAACUUACCAGGUUAAAACAAUAGUGGGAUUGACAGUUUGAGAGCGCUUUCUUGAUUGGUUGGGUGGUGGUGCAUGGCCGUUCUUAGUUGGUGGAGUGAUUUGUCUGCUUAAUUGCGUUAACGAACGAGACCUUAACCUGCUUACUAGACUGGCGAUCAUCAAUCGUUAGCUCUUCUUAGAGGGACUUUGGUUGUUUUAACUCCAAGGAAGUUUGAGGCAAUAACAGGUCUGUGAUGCCCUUAGAUAUCCUGGGCCGCACGCGUCACACAAUGACUAGUUCAGAAAGUUUUCUCCUGACCCGAAAGGGGAUGGGUAAUCUUGAUAAUACUAGUCGUGUUAGGGAUCGAUCUUUGCAAUUAUAGAUCUUGAACGAGGAAUUCCUAGUAAGUGCGGUUCAUCAGACCGUACUGAUUACGUCCCUGCUCUUUGUACACACCGCCCGUCGCUUCUACCGAGUGGGUGGUCCGGUGAAAUAAUUGAACGG